Molecule: long non-coding RNA, 1380 nt
Organism: Rhipicephalus sanguineus (brown dog tick)
Lineage: Eukaryota; Metazoa; Arthropoda; Arachnida; Ixodida; Ixodidae
Exons: 3
Source: RefSeq, a predicted model, not a curated record
CACUGGCAGCACAUGCAGCAUUCGUCUUGACAACCAUUUGACAACGUAGCCCGUGAACCGGUGUCCCGUAGCCCCGUAGCGACUUCGUCGUGACUGCCUCAGAGAACGUCUAGUACUGCCUUUGCUUGAUUGACGGACGUCGAGGGCGAAACAGAGCGAAGGUGCUGCCUUGCCACAAGUGAUGCAAGCCAGAAAGACCAUUACAUGAAGCAAUGAUGGGCGAACAUAUACAUGGAGAACGAACGAAGUGAUUGUGCGAGCAGGCCAAGUCAGAAAGUUGCAAGGAAGCUAUUAUUGCAACGAAACCAGCCACCGCCGCCUCUAGCACCAUCCAGUUCCCGUGCUGCAAGUGCAGUCGUAACCCCUGUGGAGAGGGACCCGACCCCAAGGAGAAAGUAGGGGCUGACGAGCUGCGUUUAAGUAUGCGUGUCCCCUCAGGAAAAUGAAAAGCAAUCCUGGCUUAAGCAGCCAAAACCACCCUGUGAAUAGCCCGACAACUGAGGCAGAGGAACGAGAAACAAUAGCCCUCGUCGGGUGCCAGUUGUAUUGUGUGCGACCUUGUCCAUCUUUUGCGACGUCAACAGUACUGGCUUUUCUUGUGGAACGUCACACGGGGCCUUCAUCUUUGUCAUAUUAGUGGAGGUGUUGCGAGGUGCUGCCAACUCAAAUGAGCACUCACGCUUACUUCAAAACCAAAUUAAAAUAUCUUAAAGGUAACAUUUGCCACUAAUAAUCAGCCAGAAGUGCCCACGUGUGCAGGACAAUCACACAACACAAACAUCUCGAGGUCUUGAUUUUGGUGUCAGGGGCCUUUUAAACGGAACUAAAAGUAUGCAGAGGGGACAAGAGCCGUACGGGUCCACCCUAUGUGUUUUUAAAAGCUGUAAAUGAUUUAAAGUAGUACUGUGUAUUCUACUUUAGGAGACCGGUAAGCAGUCAUCAUACUUGCAGAAAAACUUUUUUUCAUAAAAACGUUACCAAGCUUAUGUUGAAUGCACUAGUCUUUCUUUGAUGGAAAUGAUUUCAGUAACAUUAUUUUGUCACUGUAUAACCAUAGCAGUAGCGAUCUUGCCAUGCUUUCUUUUGUUCUUCAGCUUUCGAAUAAUAUUCUUCUAUGUGGGAGUGUGUUUUCCCAUCAUUAUGUUUUUCGGUAAACAGAACGAUUACUUUAUUGAAGAGACUGAUGCUGGGACUGUUAGUACAUAGUUCAAAAUCUACAUACGGAAGAAGGAAUUGUACAAGCACAGACACCCAGUGUGUGUGUGCAUUCCAUUCCUUCCUCUUGUGUAAGACUCCUUCAGGCUGAGUGUUGCUCUUUCAAACUAUUUUAGUGAAAUUGUAUGAGCUAUGUUUAUUGCACAAAAAUAAAGCAGUCUUUAU